RNAcentral lists this ribosomal RNA (162 nucleotides) under uncultured Lactobacillus sp. RNAcentral describes it as "partial 16S ribosomal RNA". It matches the Rfam family "Bacterial small subunit ribosomal RNA", at positions 371 to 525 of the family's 1533-position model. The record is from RNAcentral. Lineage: Bacteria; Bacillati; Bacillota; Bacilli; Lactobacillales; Lactobacillaceae.
AUGGACGCAAGUCUGAUGGAGCAACGCCGCGUGAGUGAAGAAGGUCUUCGGAUCGUAAAACUCUGUUGUUAGAGAAGAACACGAGUGAGAGUAACUGUUCUUUCGAUGACGGUAUCUAACCAGCAAGUCACGGCUAACUACGUGCCAGCAGCCGCGGUAAUA